This 65-nucleotide transfer RNA is filed under the name Mesocestoides corti. Its description in RNAcentral is "tRNA-Ala". Lineage: Eukaryota; Metazoa; Platyhelminthes; Cestoda; Cyclophyllidea; Mesocestoididae. The record is from RNAcentral.
AACAAAGUAAUUUAUAAUGAGAAUAUUAGGUUUGCGUCUUAAAUGAAGGAUUUUCCUCUUUGUUA